This 253-nucleotide ribosomal RNA is filed under the name uncultured bacterium. RNAcentral describes it as "partial 16S ribosomal RNA". It matches the Rfam family "Bacterial small subunit ribosomal RNA", at positions 524 to 776 of the family's 1533-position model. The record is from RNAcentral.
UACGUAGGUGGCAAGCGUUGUCCGGAAUUAUUGGGCGUAAAGCGCGCGCAGGCGGUCCUUUAAGUCUGAUGUGAAAGCCCACGGCUCAACCGUGGAGGGUCAUUGGAAACUGGUCGACUUGAGUGCAGAAGAGGGAAGUGGAAUUCCAUGUGUAGCGGUGAAAUGCGUAGAGAUAUGGAGGAACACCAGUGGCGAAGGCGGCUUCCUGGUCUGUAACUGACACUGAGGCGCGAAAGCGUGGGGAGCAAACAGG